Unclassified non-coding RNA from Cavia porcellus (domestic guinea pig), 99 nucleotides. It matches the Rfam family "Y RNA". Rfam says of the family: Y RNAs are components of the Ro ribonucleoprotein particle (Ro RNP), in association with Ro60 and La proteins. The Y RNAs and Ro60 and La proteins are well conserved, but the function of the Ro RNP is not known. NCBI's taxonomy places the organism in Eukaryota, Metazoa, Chordata, Mammalia, Rodentia, Caviidae. The record is from Ensembl.
GGCUGGUCCGAUGGCAGUGGGUUAUCAGAACUUAUUAACAUUAGUGUCACUAAAGUUGGUAUACCACCCCCCCCCACUGCUAAAUUUGAGUGGCUUUAA